This is a non-coding RNA of Acanthosepion pharaonis, 114 nucleotides long. The record is from the annotation of a GenBank genome assembly. NCBI's taxonomy places the organism in Eukaryota, Metazoa, Mollusca, Cephalopoda, Sepiida, Sepiidae.
UUACGGACAUAUCACGUUGAAACAUUAGUUCCCGCUCGUACACCGAAGUUAAACAACGUCGAGCCUGGUCAUUACUUAGAAGGGUUACCACUUCGGAAUAUCAGGUGCUGUAAG